This 238-nucleotide ribosomal RNA is filed under the name uncultured bacterium. RNAcentral's name for it is "partial 16S ribosomal RNA". It matches the Rfam family "Bacterial small subunit ribosomal RNA", at positions 118 to 353 of the family's 1533-position model. The record is from RNAcentral.
UGAGCAAUCUGCCCUUCACAUCGGAAUAACCAUUGGAAACGACGUCUAAUGCCGAAUACGACCUCCUUUCGCAUGAUCGGAGGUGGAAAGCUCCGGCGGAGAAGGAUGAGCUCGCGGCCUAUCAGCUAGUUGGUGGGGGUAAUGGCCCACCAAGGCGACGACGGGUAGCCGGCCUGAGAGGGUGACCGGCCACACUGGGACUGAGACACGGCCCAGACCUCCCGUACGGGGAGCAGCG